GCUAGCAUGGCGUAGUGGAUUGAAUGUUGGACUAUGACUCUGCAGACCAGGGUUCGAUUCCCAGCUCAGCC
Molecule: transfer RNA, 71 nt
Filed under: Phrynosoma platyrhinos (Desert horned lizard)
Lineage: Eukaryota; Metazoa; Chordata; Lepidosauria; Squamata; Phrynosomatidae
Description: tRNA-OTHER
Source: RNAcentral